Mesocricetus auratus (golden hamster) is the source of this 783-nucleotide long non-coding RNA. RefSeq lists it as uncharacterized. The record is from RefSeq and is a predicted model, not a curated record. Lineage: Eukaryota; Metazoa; Chordata; Mammalia; Rodentia; Cricetidae. The transcript is spliced from 3 exons.
AGUUGAUCUCUUGAGGAAAUGUUUUGGGCUUGAACAAAGCAAACAACUCCCUGAAAAGGCCAAUUGUUGAAUCUAAGUGACAGAAACCAAGAGCAAGAAGGAAAAGAAACAACACCCGUAUUCUGUGCUUGAAAGUCUAGUGAUAGCUGCUUGCUGGAGAUCAAGCCUGUUGCUUUUGUCUUGGGGAAUUGACUCUGUCACCAUGAAGGUCAGAAGCAGUUGGACAUCGAUUGACAGUAACAGAUGAAAUUUUUCCUAUGUCUGAUUGACAGCUCACAGCUUGUACCUCUAGGAAGAUGACCUCAGAUGUCAGAGUCUGGCUUCACCCAGCCCAUCAGGUGCUGGGGAUACAGGACCAGGCCACCAUGCCUGGUUUUAUGCUGGGGAUUGGACCCAGAGCAUCAUACAUGUCAGGCAAGUACUUUACCAACUAAGUCACGUCCCCAACUCCAACACAAGCUAUUUCUUUGGGCUUGGUUUGUAGCGGAGAAAGGCUAAGAUGAGCUAGACGUCCAUCUGCAUAAAGGAUUAGUGAGAGAAAUACGUUUCUCUGCAGUUUUAAGCAGGAAUAAGGCCACUCUGUCUCAGGAAGGAGUGACUCUAGACACUAGGAUGAUGCCGAGCCAUGGAUAGCAGGUGACAUUGUAGUAGAAAAAAAAUGUGCUGUGUUUAUUGACUGGCCCAGAUAUAGACUUGAGAAGCAGGGCAUUCUUGUCUUUGGGAGGAAAACCUGUGAUUUGUGUGUCUUUGAGACAUAAUGCUUUUCAACACUAGAGGUGUUUA